Molecule: long non-coding RNA, 1753 nt
Filed under: Lactuca sativa (garden lettuce)
Lineage: Eukaryota; Viridiplantae; Streptophyta; Magnoliopsida; Asterales; Asteraceae
Description: long non-coding RNA (LSAT_LNC001888)
Source: RNAcentral
UCCAUUCGAUUUAAAUCUUUCAAAAAUCAAAACUAAAAACCUUACCUUACCUUUUUCUACGAUCGAUCAAUAGGGUUUAAAAUCUCUUCAAGCUCUUAUCGGCAAUGCCUGCUGGAUCGCACAACCGUCGUUCGUAACUGGCGACGCUCUGCAAUCACUAGUACUCCGGCUCCGGCGCCGGCACCAUCCCAAGGUUCUACUCUCGGCCUGUAGACCACCGCUCUUUGCCUAGACAGCCUCUCCGGUCUCCGUCUAUCUUGCUGUUGUUCUUGCCCUCGCUUGAGUCUUGACUCUUCUAAUCGAUUUAGGUUUUCACCUUCACUGAAUUUUCUUUAAUUAAGUAUAAGAUUUUCAUUUUCUAUUUUCUUUUUUUUAUUAUUUAGUUGUCAAAUGUGCAGAAAAUACGGCCUAGGGUGAGCAUUUGGACCGGAUCGGUCGGUUUUUACCGUGUUUAGAACCGAUUGGACAUUGAAUCUGUGACGUUUUUUAAACACCCAUAGCUUAUUUGUUUUAAGUCGGAUUGACCUCUGGUUUUUUCCAACAUUUAGUUUAAAGUUUGUAGAUGAAUUUAUACUAUAAUUUUGUUUAUUUUGGUAUUGUAUUCACUGAGUUACAAUCCUUUAAAUUAGAUCUAUCAAAGCUGAAAAAAUUCAGCUUUUUAGCAAGAUUUUGUAAUAUAUGACGUUUUUUAAAACUCAUAACUCAUUCAUUUUAAGUCGGAUUGACCUCCGUUUUUUUCCAAAAUUUAGUUUAUAGUUUGUAAAUUAAUUUAGACUAUAAUUUUUAUUUUUUUUUUAUUUUGGUAUUAUAUUCAUUGAGUUACAAUCCUUUAAAGUAGAGUUAUCAAAGCUGAAAAAAUUCAGUUUUUAAGUGAAAGAUUAGAUUAUGAGUUUAUGAACUUUGUUAGUUUGAUUGAUUUUAAAAUUUAAACUAUGAUUUUUGUUGUUACGGUAAUACUUUUAUAUCUUUGUCUUAAAAUUGUAUAAUUUUUGUUGGUGAACUUGAUUUAUAUGUUAGUUGUUUUUAUUUGGAAAAUUAAUUUUUGCAAGUUAUAAUCUUAUACAUCAAUGUAUAUUAGUUAUGUAUGAAACGGAAACGUAUUAAUUUUGCAAGUUAUAAUAUUAUACAUCAAUGUAGAUUACUUAUACUCUAUGCAAUUAAAGUUAUACCGGUCCAAACGGGUUCAAAAACCGAAAAACCCGGACCUGGACCCGGACACGGACACGACUCAUAUGGUUCGGUCCAUGGUCCACAAAAUUCUCCAUAACUGGUCCGGUCCAAAAGCCGGUCCGGUCCGGUCCAAAUGCUCAUCCCUAUUACAGCGUACCUUUUGCUUUACUUUGCUUGUGAAAUUUUCAAUCGAUAGUUACUAGUUUUCUGUCACUUUAUUGUACAUUUGCUAUUUAAUUUUUUUCGAUUUGUUGCUUUUUAAUGUAUGAUAAAAAAAAAAAAAAAAAAAAACUCAUAUAGAGAGAUAUUUAAUUAUCUAUGUUGGGGCACUUAAUGAAUGGUUUUUAAAAUCUGUAAGUCAUAUAAAACAUAAUUUAAUCUCAUAAUGAAAUUAUAUUUUUUAGUUUUAGCUUGACGACAAAGGUUGAUUUUUAAUAGUUUGACACUCAAAUAACUAUUAAAAUAGAAUUUUAAAAUUAACCGUUAUCCAAUGAUUGAUAUUGAAGCUUGGCCGCUUGAGGAGAAAUUUUUAGGGUUUUAGACGGUCAACCAUUAUUUUGAUAAACCAUUAUUUUAUAUUAGC